UCUAUUUACAAAGAUCUUAUGAUAUUGUUUAGUAAUGGCAUUUACUAAAUCAAACACGAAAGACUCCAUUGGAGAUAUUCGACCCAUGUGAAUAAAUCUAAGUAAAGAAUGUUUGAACUAUGUAUAAGGAUUUACUAAGUUAAACAUCAAAGGAUCUAAGUAAGAUUCUUAACCUAUAUUAUAUGUCAAAGAAUUUAGCUAGAUUUAGUAUCUACUGAAAUUGAAUGAGCUAAAGUUACAUGAAUAGAAUUCAAUUGAGAAUUAUUCUGCAAAAGAAUUUAUCAUGUAUGAUAUAAUAUGAGGAUCGCCAAAAACGUAUCGUAUGACUUUAGGCAUGACGAACAUAUACCAAUCUCUAUUGAUCUAAGUGAAGAUCAACUAGAUUGAGAUCAAGAACACUUAUGGUACUUGAAAAGGUACAUAGGAAUAGUUCUUGAUUCAAGGAAAUAAAGAUAUGCUAAAUAUUGAUGCUACACGCAUAAACACUGGCAAAGGAUCAAGCAAGACCCUUUGGAGUUAACCAUUGACAAGGACGAGCUAAAGAGCAUCGUGUUUCGAAAUGGCAACAUGGAUUGGAGACCAUGAGUUGUUGCGUGGGAAAUUAAAAUAUUAAUUUCUAUGUUCUAAGAUACAGCUGGAAAGUCUUCCACAUAUCUGUGAACUGCUUGGAUAAGUAAUUCCAAACAAAGCAUCACUAGCAACCUAUAAAGUUGAAGUAAAAGUACUUAUUGCCUAAGAAGCAAUAAAAUAGAGUUGUUUAUAUGAGUUCUUCAUUGAACUUGGGAAGAUCACAUGUCUGUUGACUUAAUGGUUCUUCAUUGCAAAAUGCUUAGAACCACUAAUGUAGCAAGAAAGACUAGAUCACAAAAUAAACAUACUCAAAAGUUCUUAUCAUCAUAUCUCGAAGAACAUUCGAUGAAAAGGAUAUUAAGAUUCACUAGUAGAAAAAACCCUUGUUCCAGCCCCCUUAUUGAAGGGGGCAUAAAGAAGUACGCUUCAACAACCAAUCGGUCAACGCGGGUCAAACAUUAUAAACUGUUGUUGAAGCGAACAUUUUUGUUGUUCGCUUCAAUAGCAGUUGUUGAAGGGGGGAUUAAAUGUUCGCUUCAACAAAUAACAGUCGCAUAUACUCCAACUUUUGAUUCUCUCUCCUCCUCAUUUCUUCUGUUAACCUGAAAGAUUCAUUUCUCUCUCUUCUCUCCCCUCUCCUCUCUCCCGGUUCAAAACUCCUCAAACCAUCCACCCCUUUCCAUGGAAGGUCUAUCUUCUCUCCCUCUCCCCCAUUCUCUAUAAUUUCAAAGAAGGUGUCUUCAUAAACGGCCUCGAUUUCGUUUUCUUUCUCUCUCCUCUUUCAAAAAAAAUUUCGUGUUAGAUCUAGAUAUUUCAAGCGAAAACGAGGGAGUGCAUCGGUCAAGCUGGUAGCUUUACUCUGUCGAGCAUGGUAUUCAGUUUGAUCAGUUGAUUGUUCCUGAUGAAUAUCGUUGCCCCAUUUCUAAAGAAAUUGUGAAGGACCCUGUUAUUUCAUCUACUGGAAGUGGGAAAAUGCAAGGAGUCUAUUGCCUCCAAAUGUUAGGGUUGUGGAAAUGAGUAUGAAUGAUUCCUGGUUUUGUGAUUCAAGACCUACUUUUCUCGUAAGGAAGAACAACAUGAAGAGUGUAGCUGGAAUCGAUUGGACUUUCAACAGUUAGGGUGGCGUUGAUGAUGGAUGCUAUAAGGAUUGGAGUCAUGACAUUCUUGUUUCAAGGAAGGGUAUGGUUUUCGAUCUCCUUUAAAGGCGGUCACACAAUCGAGGUCAAUCAAGAAUUGGAAAGACAAGAGGUUGAAGAAAUGUUAGAUGAUUGUAUUAAAAUGUAUGCCCUUAAACAGGUUCCCUCUGAGAAAAUAUGCAUUGAGAAAGAGUCUAUAACUGAUGGAAUUUUGGAACUCAUAUCUGAAUUGGGGAUACAGAAAUUGGUGAUGGGUGCAGGAUCUAACAGCAGAUUUUUUUGAGGAUAAAACCAAAACCCACCUCAGAACAGUCUAAUGAAGUCCUUAAUAAAGCUCCUGAUUUCUGUCAUAUCUGGUUUGUAUACAAGGGUCGUCUAAUAUAUACAAGGGAAGCCACGAAGCAACUGAUCACCGCCGUCUAGAAGAAAAUCAGUUGAACAGAUUGAGCUAUUCAGAACAAUCAGUUGAUUCACCAUCAGCUGAGUCAGCUGGUAGCUCAUGACCACUGUCUCAAAACAUGCAGCAUUCUUCACCUGCUACUUAAUUUGCUUUUUUAAUUUUUAUUUUAUUUUAUUUUGCAGGAAGUUUGAAGAUAGAAGGGUGGUGAAAUUUACUAUGGAAGACUUGUCAAGAAAUGAUAAAUGGGCAUGGCGUAAUUUUGG
Long non-coding RNA from Spinacia oleracea (spinach), 2369 nucleotides. RefSeq lists it as uncharacterized. The transcript is spliced from 9 exons. The record is from RefSeq and is a predicted model, not a curated record. Lineage: Eukaryota; Viridiplantae; Streptophyta; Magnoliopsida; Caryophyllales; Amaranthaceae.